This 521-nucleotide ribosomal RNA is filed under the name uncultured bacterium. RNAcentral describes it as "bacterial SSU rRNA". It matches the Rfam family "Archaeal small subunit ribosomal RNA", at positions 345 to 866 of the family's 1478-position model. The record is from RNAcentral.
AACCUCCGCAAUGUGAGAAAUCGCGACGGGGGGAUCCCAAGUGCCAUUCUUAACGGGAUGGCUUUUCAUUAGUGUAAAGAGCUUUUGGAAUAAGAGCUGGGCAAGACCGGUGCCAGCCGCCGCGGUAACACCGGCAGCUCUAGUGGUAACAAUUUUUAUUGGGCCUAAAGCGUCCGUAGCCGGUUUAAUAAGUCUCUGGUGAAAUCCUGUAGCUUAACUGUGGGAAUUGCUGGAGAUACUAUUAGACUUGAGAUCGGGAGAGGUUAGAGGUACUCCCAGGGUAGAGGUGAAAUUCUGUAAUCCUGGGAGGACCGCCUGUUGCGAAGGCGUCUAACUGGAACGAUUCUGACGGUGAGGGACGAAAGUUAGGGGCGCGAACCGGAUUAGAUACCCGGGUAGUCCUAACUGUAAACGAUGCGGACUUGGUGUUGGGGUGGCUUUGAGCUGCUCCAGUGCCGAAGGGAAGCUGUUAAGUCCGCCGCCUGGGAAGUACGGUCGCAAGACUGAAACUUAAAGGAAGU